Molecule: ribosomal RNA, 301 nt
Filed under: uncultured bacterium
Lineage: Bacteria
Description: partial 16S ribosomal RNA
Rfam family: Bacterial small subunit ribosomal RNA
Source: RNAcentral
CAGCCGCCGCGGGAAUACGGAGGGGGCUAGCGUUGUUCGGAAUUACUGGGCGUAAAGCGCACGUAGGCGGCUUGGUAAGUUAGAGGUGAAAGCCCGGAGCUCAACUCCGGAAUUGCCUUUAAGACUGCCGAGCUAGCAGGUGAGAGAGGUAAGUGGAAUUCCGAGUGUAGAGGUGAAAUUCGUAGAUAUUCGGAGGAACACCAGUGGCGAAGGCGGCUUACUGGCUCAUACUGGACGCUGAGGUGCGAAAGCGUGGGGAGCAAACAGGAUUAGAUACCCCUGUAGUCCCUGUCUCUUAUAA